GGCGGCGUGCCUAAUACAUGCAAGUAGAACGCUGAAGGAGGAGCUUGCUUCUCUGGAUGAGUUGCGAACGGGUGAGUAACGCGUAGGUAACCUGCCUGGUAGCGGGGGAUAACUAUUGGAAACGAUAGCUAAUACCGCAUAAGAGUAGAUGUUGCAUGACAUUUACUUAAAAGGUGCAAUUGCAUCACUACCAGAUGGACCUGCGUUGUAUUAGCUAGUGGUGAGGUAACGGCUCACCAAGGCAACGAUACAUAGCCGACCUGAGAGGGUGAUCGGCCACACUGGGACUGAGACACGGCCCAGACUCCUACGGGAGGCAGCAGUAGGGAAUCUUCGGCAAUGGACGGAAGUCUGACCGAGCAACGCCGCGUGAGUGAAGAAGGUUUUCGGAUCGUAAAGCUCUGUUGUAAGAGAAGAACGAGUGUGAGAGUGGAAAGGUC
RNAcentral lists this ribosomal RNA (440 nucleotides) under Streptococcus mitis. RNAcentral's name for it is "bacterial SSU rRNA". It matches the Rfam family "Bacterial small subunit ribosomal RNA", at positions 38 to 465 of the family's 1533-position model. The record is from RNAcentral. Lineage: Bacteria; Bacillati; Bacillota; Bacilli; Lactobacillales; Streptococcaceae.